CAGAGACCAUCUAAAAUAUCCGCCAAAACAUGGGAUAUGUCCUGAUACAUGCUCAAAUAACUCUAGAAAUGCCAGUUUAAGCUUCUAAGGUUUGCCCUACCAGUACUGGAGCUGGAUAUCCAGUCCUCUUGGAAGUUUAUAGAAGCAUCAGCAGAACUUGUUGAGGCCCUAGAAGCAGUGAGCUCAUUCAAAAAAGUAGUCACCUAGCCAUGGUCUUGAUUGUGUGGGACAAGUGGACUUCUACUUCACCCAAGGGUUAAUAUGGACUUCCAAAAUGAGAUUUCUGUCAUGGCACCUAACACAAUGAGGAAGAGAGAAAAAGAGUAAGAGGUUAUUGCCCCAGUUUAAUUCUCUUGGAGAAAACCCAAAAAACUGGAAGUGAGAAGUGGAAAUUCAUAGAGAAUUUUGGGAAACUCCCGUGAAGGGGGCUUGCUCCUUCUCCGACAAUAUUAGAGCCAGUCCCUUUUUGAGAAUUUCUUCAUAUGCUGAAGCAUUAUGGUGCCAACCAGACACGUCAGAACACCACUCAGGCUACAAUCAAGAAAGAUAAAAGACUUGGAUGGACCUGCCUCCUGGGAGAUUCCAGUCCAAUCUGAGAUAUGUUCCCCUAGAGUCUUCCAUGAACCAAAGGCAGCCUGUGAACUAAGAAAAGUGGCUUCAUUAAACAAUGAAAAGUGUUGUGGAUUCAAGACUCAUACCUAUCCUAUGAAGGAUUCAAUGAAAUAUUGGCCACAGUUCACCUAUGUGGGGAUUUGAGGUUUUGAUUACAGAACAUUGGUCAUCAAUUCUGGUGUCCAUCCAAAUGACCUAUGGACCUCUUUCAAAAAUCUCUGUGUCUGGCCCAUCCUCCUGAGAUGAACUUAAGAAAACUCUGCACACCAUCAGAUUUUUGCAGGAUUUGACAGGAAUAACUCAUCUUUGGUCCACAAGGCAUCUACUGGAACUUGAAAGACCCACUGUUAAGACGACUCAUUAUGACUGAUAGAACACACAAACUACUUCAUAUUUGGAAGAGGAUAGAAGGCUGCCAUGAAAGCAGGCUUUGCUCCUGCUACAGGAUGCUUUCACGGAGUUCAGUGUCCUCAUCCAAAAGCUUACCAAUCUUAUUGUAAAACUCAUCCAUUAAAAAAAAAAAAAAAAAAAAAAAAGCCUAGAGAGUAUUUUAAGGAAAACACGUGUACCUACCCAGCUUUA
Canis lupus familiaris (dog) is the source of this 1194-nucleotide long non-coding RNA. RefSeq lists it as uncharacterized. NCBI's taxonomy places the organism in Eukaryota, Metazoa, Chordata, Mammalia, Carnivora, Canidae. The transcript has 9 exons. The record is from RefSeq and is a predicted model, not a curated record.